GACGAACGCUGGCGGCGUGCCUAAUACAUGCAAGUCGAACGCUUCUUUCCUCCCGAGUGCUUGCCCUCAAUUGGAAAGAGGAGUGGCGGACGGGUGAGUAACACGUGGGUAACCUACCCAUCAGAGGGGGAUAACACUUGGAAACAGGUGCUAAUACCGCAUAACAGUUUAUGCCGCAUGGCAUAAGAGUGAAAGGCGCUUUCGGGUGUCGCUGAUGGAUGGACCCGCGGUGCAUUAGCUAGUUGGUGAGGUAACGGCUCACCAAGGCCACGAUGCAUAGCCGACCUGAGAGGGUGAUCGGCCACACUGGGGCUGAGACACGGCCCAGACUCCUACGGGAGGCAGCAGUAGGGAAUCUUCGGCAAUGGACGAAAGUCUGACCGAGCAACGCCGCGUGAGUGAAGAAGGUGUUCGGAUCGUAAAACUCUGUUGUUAGAGAAGAACAAGGACGUUAGUAACUGAACGUCCCCUGACGGUAUCUAACCAGAAAGCCACGGCUAACUACGUG
This 508-nucleotide ribosomal RNA is filed under the name uncultured bacterium. Its description in RNAcentral is "partial 16S ribosomal RNA". It matches the Rfam family "Bacterial small subunit ribosomal RNA", at positions 28 to 507 of the family's 1533-position model. The record is from RNAcentral.